Acanthaster planci (crown-of-thorns starfish) is the source of this 1769-nucleotide unclassified non-coding RNA. The record is from RefSeq and is a predicted model, not a curated record. Lineage: Eukaryota; Metazoa; Echinodermata; Asteroidea; Valvatida; Acanthasteridae.
GUGUGGUGUCACACGCUAUAUAUCACAGGCAAGAUAACACGGAUCUCCAGUACUUCUGACCCAAAGAGACCAGUGCAGACAUAUCUCCCUUGCAAACUAACGAGAAGCCCAAAAAAGUCAUUCAAAGUAGGACUCUUUGUUUCAAGUUGGAAGUUGCCGUUUCCAGAAGACUUUGUUGAGUCUUUCCUCGGCGUGGAUUGAGUGGAUCAGUCAACGGUCACCUGGUCUCCUUUAUCUAUCAGAGAAUUCUGCGUAACCUUACUCAAAUUCACAAUGCACCGAUUCAUCGCGCUAUGCCUCGCCCUGCUGGUUCUUGCCGCGACAUCUCUCGCCUUUCCCGCUCAGCUAGAGUACCUCCUGGACGAAGACCCUGAUGAGCAAGUGGCCAAGCGGGACACGGACGAAGACGCCAUGUACCGGGUCCAAAGGUCGCGGGACAGCUGUUCCAUUAACUGCAUCGCUUGCGGGAGCACGUGGUCCACCAAGUUCAACACCCACCAAUGCAUGAAGCACUGCCAGACCAUCACCUCGCCCGACAGCCCCAAGAAGUACUCGUCCUGCCGUCGCUUUUACAUCAACUGAUGAGUCACCCAGGAUUCUCCGCAUCCACAAGAAUUCUUCAAGAAAUAUCUGAUGCUCGAUUGUCCUCCUAUUGAAAUUAAACCUUGACUGCGCCAGCAUCUGUGAUUCCAAAGUUGUAGGUCAUGGGGCUCGGUGGGAGACGGGCGCGAGACCACUUUAUUCAUGUAAAUUAAGUAUCAUUUAAUUGGCUUUAGUAAGUGACGAAAGUUCACCGAUAUAAUAGGAGUUAAACAGAUACAAUGACCUAAGCAAGUAGCCCUGAUUUGAGACUCCUCAUGAUCCUCAAUCCAGUAGACGGAGACUGGUAAAGCUCACAGCCUGUAGCCUCUCACCGAUCCCUUCAAAUGAUCGUUCGACCAUGACUGAAACGAAGGUAGAUGGCGCGAUUGGACUCAUCUCAUUUGACCCGGAAAGAGAGAUCUGAGUUUGAACAGCCAUGCUACUUUUUCUGAAAGAAAGGAAGAGGAGGAAAAACACCUAUUUUGAUUUUCGUGCAUGCAUGCAGGCGUUUGUUGUUGACAACAUGAUAUAUACCCUAACAGUUUAUUAAUAUAUGGCCCUAUCAGCUUUUUAAGUCUACAUAGAGUUACCUUGACGCACAGCCAGUGCGCCGAAUUUGUUGUCGGAGCCAGUGGUUGAUGCGAGCACGAUCAUUAUCUAACCGUUGAGCAGACCACGAGUUAGCAAACUGUGAAAAUGGUAAACAGGGAAAGCCUACAUUCAGGUUUUUGUUCACGUUUGAAGUUUCGGUUUGACAACUAUAACCAGAAUUCAUUGUCUGUGGCAUUAGUAUUCAGAUGUAAAUACAAAAAGGUGUGAUAGUAUUGAAAACGUACCUCUGCCUGAGUGACCCAUUCAUUGAACUGAUUUCAAGAUCAUGCAUGCUUCUCUCUCGUAAAGGAUCUUAAGGUUUUGAAAAAGCCCAACUGAUCCUGUCAAUAAUUUUCGCGUAUAUUUAAGACAUUAAAUGCUGCAUUUGUCGAGUCAUAAAAGAGAUGACUUGUUCAACUGAAGUUUUCCCCCACACAACUUAGUGAGCACGUUCUCGCAAUUAAGUGGCAAGACAAAUUGAACCAGCUGAUAUUGUCAUUUACACAGUAACUUGCACCGGGUAUAUUCAUGAAACUCUGUACCCACUGUUUGUCCGAAAUCUUGUACUUAGAAAAAAAAUAAAAUAAAAAAAUUUU